RNAcentral lists this ribosomal RNA (253 nucleotides) under uncultured bacterium. RNAcentral describes it as "partial 16S ribosomal RNA". It matches the Rfam family "Bacterial small subunit ribosomal RNA", at positions 524 to 776 of the family's 1533-position model. The record is from RNAcentral.
UACAGAGGUCCCAAGCGUUGUUCGGAUUCACUGGGCGUAAAGCGUGCGCAGGCGGUUUUGUAAGACAGGUGUGAAAUCCCCGGGCUUAACCUGGGAACUGCGCUUGUGACUGCAAGACUCGAGUACGGCAGAGGGGGGUAGAAUUCCACGUGUAGCAGUGAAAUGCGUAGAGAUGUGGAGGAAUACCGAUGGCGAAGGCAGCCCCCUGGGUCGAUACUGACGCUCAUGCACGAAAGCGUGGGGAGCAAACAGG